GCAGUCUGCAACUCGACUGCACGAAGCUGGAAUCGCUAGUAAUCGCGGAUCAGCACGCCGCGGUGAAUACGUUCCCGGGCCUUGUACACACCGCCCGUCACACCAUGGAAGUCUGCAAUGCCCGAAGCCGGUGGCCUAACCACUUAUGUGGAAGGAGCCGUCUAAGGCAGGGCAGAUGACUGGGUGAAGUCGUAACAAGGUAUC
This 204-nucleotide ribosomal RNA is filed under the name uncultured bacterium. RNAcentral's name for it is "partial 16S ribosomal RNA". It matches the Rfam family "Bacterial small subunit ribosomal RNA", at positions 1300 to 1500 of the family's 1533-position model. The record is from RNAcentral.